AUGCAUAUUGGAUAUCUAAAUAGAGAUAUCAAGAAAUGAAGAUAUGAGUUUCCAGUUCCAGGGAGAAAUUCAGACUAGAAAUAUAAAUUUAGGAAUUUUAAAGUUAGUGGUCACAUUUAAAGCUGCAGAAUACAAAGAGAUCACCUGUGUGAGAGAACUGAGUCCUGAAACAUACCCAUGUUUAAAGAUCUGGGAGGUGUAGAGGAACUAUCAAAGGAGACUGAGAAGGAGCAGCCGGUGAGGUGUGCAGAAAAACAAGAUAAGCAAAAAGAAAAGUAAGAGAUACGGAACUGGACUUCCCUUUGGCAAAAAAUUUAGAAAAUGAUAAUUAGACUCCGCUUUCUGUCUCUCUGAAGAUAACGUUAAGCUGCAGCUCCAUAUCUGUGAAAACCCAUUUCAUAGCAUCUGCAUCCCUGGGUUGCUAAAUACCCUUGUCUAGUUACCCGAAUAUUAAUGGAUCCCAUGGAAUAAAGUGGCGUGAUUUAGGCGCAAACAAUUACCAAAGGAUUUUGAAAAGCAGUAACUCGAAAUUAUCUUGUAAAGUUGAGAUUAAUCUGAGAAGAACUAUUGUAAGAUUGGGAAUCAAGUAACAAAAUAAAGA
This 601-nucleotide small RNA is filed under the name Pongo abelii (Sumatran orangutan). RNAcentral describes it as "sense overlapping". The record is from RNAcentral. Lineage: Eukaryota; Metazoa; Chordata; Mammalia; Primates; Hominidae.